UGGCGGAAUGCUUUACACAUGCAAGUCGAGCGGCAGCGCGGGGCAACCUGGCGGCGAGCGGCGAACGGGUGAGUAAUGCAUCGGAACAUGUCCACUCGUGGGGGAUAGCCCGGCGAAAGCCGGAUUAAUACCGCAUACGCCCUUUGGGGGAAAGCCGGGGACCGCAAGGCCUGGCGCGAAUGGGUUGGCCGAUGUCCGAUUAGCUAGUUGGCGGGGUAAUGGCCCACCAAGGCGAUGAUCGGUAGCUGGUCUGAGAGGAUGAUCAGCCACACUGGGACUGAGACACGGCCCAGACUCCUACGGGAGGCAGCAGUGGGGAAUUUUGGACAAUGGGGGCAACCCUGAUCCAGCCAUUCCGCGUGAGUGAAGAAGGCCCUCGGGUUGUAAAGCUCUUUUGUCCGGAGCGAAACGGGUAGCGUGAAUAUCGCUGCCUACUGACGGUACCUGCAGAAGAAGCGCCGGCUAACUACGUGCCAGCAGCCGCGGUAAUACGUAGGGCGCAAGCGUUAUCCGGAAUUAUUGGGCGUAAAGAGCUCGUAGGCGGUUUGUCGCGUCUGCCGUGAAAGUCCGGGGCUCAACUCCGGAUCUGCGGUGGGUACGGGCAGACUAGAGUGAUGUAGGGGAGACUGGAAUUCCUGGUGUAGCGGUGAAAUGCGCAGAUGUCAGGAGGAACACCGAUGGCGAAGGCAGGUCUCUGGGCAUUAUCUGACGCUGAGGAGCGAAAGC
RNAcentral lists this ribosomal RNA (726 nucleotides) under uncultured soil bacterium. RNAcentral describes it as "bacterial SSU rRNA". It matches the Rfam family "Bacterial small subunit ribosomal RNA", at positions 37 to 760 of the family's 1533-position model. The record is from RNAcentral.